AUGGUUACUGAAGAGCCCGAAGCAAAGAAGCAGAUAAAUGAGGAAUGCAUCAUAAACCGCCUCCCAGGAGACCUCAUUGAGCGGAUAUUUUUUAGGCUUCCGGUGAGCACUUUGUUGACGUGCCGCGGCGUCUGCAAGCAGUGGCAGAACUUCAUCCGGGAUCCACAGUUUGCCGCAUCACACCUCCAGCUUGCACCCAGUUAUGCUCUUCUGUUCUUCCCGCAAGGUUUGGUUUCCAGCGUGCUCUACCCUAGUGAUGCUAUCCUAAUUGACGAAGCCUGGUCACCGUCGACAUAUGCGGUGCCAGUGAUUGGUCCUGAUGAUUUCCUUUUUGGUUCAUGCAAUGGCCUUCUUGGGUCAUACACAAAGACAUCAACGAUCAAGAUAGCUAACCUUGCAACUGGUGAAUGUCUACAUCUUGAGAAACCUUCCAAGAAUGUGAAAGGUGAUCACUACUGUUUCUACAGCUUUGGGUUUCAUCCCGUGACAAAAGAAUACAAGAUCACACACUUCCUUGGUGACUGCGUUGAUGGUCGCCCCCAUAAUAAAGACAGGUUCAACAUCAUUCAAGUUUACACGCUUGGUGAUGAGAAAUGGAAAGAUAUCCGCACUCCAGAACCUCUUAGCUUGAUCAGUGUGAGAAACUCUGGAGUUGUCAAUGUUGAUGGCAAAAUGUAUUGGUUAACUGAAGACAUGCUAGUUAGCUGGCAGCAUGCAGUUAUUUCCUUUGAUCUCAGGGAAGAAAGUUUUGCGACGAUACAACUGCCGGCAGAGCGUGAAGAUCAGGAUCGUUAUGGUCCUCGUAAGUUCUGGAUCAGAGAAAUGCAUGGGAAAAUAUGCAUAGUAACUGCUCAACCAAGUCGUUAUGAUCCCAGAGCUCUUCUUGGUGAGCUGCAGAUCUGGACACUUGAGAACACGGUAGAGCAACAAAGGUGGAGCAAGAAGUACAAUAUUAAGAACCCACCAAAUUACAUUCCAGGUCCACAUUCUGUUCACAGGGAUAGGAUCAUGACGCAACUUUACAAUAGCGUGUGUUCAUAUGAGUUGUUUAGUGAAAACUUCGAGAUUGAUUUGAGCAAGAAGUUGAAGCUGUUUGAUUCCAAACCCCGUUGGAUGUACAACAUGCAAUCCUACAUCGUUGUGAAAUCACUUGUAUCUUUAGAUUUAUAUAAAAAGGCUGGCAUUGUGCGCAGACCGAAACAGCAAGUAGGCUGGGAAUUGAAGAAGUGGAAGGCAUGGGAGGGUAAGCGUCGUGAGGCAGAGGAUAUACGGUGCCGUGUCCACAAACAUGAGCAUGCCUUAUUUGGAAACGCAGAAAAAAUGGGUAAAAUGUAUCAGUCUUUGCAGGAUAAGCCACAUGAUGUAGCAGAACGUCUACGCGCAGAACUCAAUCAGGUGUUGCAGGACAUGCCGGAUAGUCCAAGUCAGCCAAAGUCCCCCCGGAGGCUUAAUUGGGUGGAGCAGAAGCAGGACUAUGAGAAGUUGAUGGCCCGUUCAGCGAAACUGAAAGAAAGGGCUCAGGUCAUGAAGCAGGCACAUGAUAACAUCUUGAGUAUCAUUGCAAGUUUUAAGUCGGAUAAGGGUAAAUCUACUGCUGGCGCUUCUUCUUCUUCCAUUGCCCGUCUUGAUGAGAAGAAGGAAGAAGAGAACAUUUAA
Molecule: ribosomal RNA, 1656 nt
Filed under: Triticum aestivum (bread wheat)
Lineage: Eukaryota; Viridiplantae; Streptophyta; Magnoliopsida; Poales; Poaceae
Description: partial small subunit ribosomal RNA
Source: RNAcentral